CCUACGGGUGGCAGCAGUGGGGAAUAUUGGGCAAUGGGCGCAAGCCUGACCCAGCAACGCCGCGUGAAGGAAGAAGGCUUUCGGGUUGUAAACUUCUUUUAAGAGGGAAGAGCAGAAGACGGUACCUCUUGAAUAAGCCACGGCUAACUACGUGCCAGCAGCCGCGGUAAUACGUAGGUGGCAAGCGUUGUCCGGAUUUACUGGGUGUAAAGGGCGUGCAGCCGGGAAGACAAGUCAGAUGGUAAAUCCCCGGGCCCAACCGCGGAACUGCAUUUGAAACUGGUUGUCUUGAGUAUCGGAGAGGUCAGCGGAAUGCGCUGUGUAGCGGUGAAAUGCGUAGAUAUAAGGAAGAACACCAGUGGCGAAGGCGGAAGACUGGACGGCAACUGACGGUGAGGCGCGAAAGCGUGGGGAGCAAACAGGAUUAGAUACCCCUGUAGUC
RNAcentral lists this ribosomal RNA (442 nucleotides) under uncultured bacterium. RNAcentral describes it as "partial 16S ribosomal RNA". It matches the Rfam family "Bacterial small subunit ribosomal RNA", at positions 338 to 795 of the family's 1533-position model. The record is from RNAcentral.